GACGAACGCUGGCGGCACGCCUAACACAUGCAAGUCGAACGAGAGAAGAGAAGCUUGCUUUUCUGAUCUAGUGGCGGACGGGUGAGUAACACGUGAGCAAUCUGCCUUUCAGAGGGGGAUACCGUUUGGAAACGAUCGUUAAUACCGCAUAACAUAAUUGAACCGCAUGAUUUGAUUAUCAAAGAUUUAUUGCUGAAAGAUGAGCUCGCGUCUGAUUAGCUAGUUGGUAAGGUAACGGCUUACCAAGGCGACGAUCAGUAGCCGUACUGAGAGGUUGAUCGGCCGCAUUGGAACUGAGGCACGGCCCAGACACCUACGGGAGGCAGCGGUAGGGAAUAUUACACAAUGGGGGAAAGUCAGAUGCAGCGAUGCCGCGUAAAGGAAGAAGGUUGUGGAAGUAUAAACCUCUGUCUUCAGGGACGAAAAAAGACGGUACCUGAAGAGGAAGCUCCGGCUAACUACGUG
This 465-nucleotide ribosomal RNA is filed under the name uncultured bacterium. RNAcentral describes it as "partial 16S ribosomal RNA". It matches the Rfam family "Bacterial small subunit ribosomal RNA", at positions 28 to 507 of the family's 1533-position model. The record is from RNAcentral.